CUGGUUACCAGCCUGACACCUCCUCGUCGGAGCUCGGUGGUCUGCGGAUGCCUAAACAGGACUUGAGAGCCCCGUUCUUCCCUGAUUGGUCAGUGGGGCAGCCUCUAAAACCACGUGCCGGGAACCAGAAACAAGCUGUCAUCUUCCCUUUGGUGUAUCUGGAUUGCCGGUGUCAACACUCUUGCACCUGGGGGCCAGAUGACACUUUUCUGCCCGAUCGAUGUGAAGCUGUGGCGUGGACUUGCUUUGGCCAAUGAAAUGCAGCCGUCGGCCUGGAUCCUGAGUCCCAGAGUAAAGUGGACGUGCUGCACCGUUAGCACCGGCCCACCACGAACACGUCACGCCGGUGAGAAAGAAGCCACUGUUGGGGGAGGCCGCUGAGACGCUGUGGUCACCUGGCGUGGCAGCACAGCUGUCUCCGCUGGCCUCGUGGCGGGAGAAUUCGGCUUAAUCCCAGGUCUUCUGCAAGUGCCCUUCCUACCACGCCCAUCCCCUGCAUUCCAGAUAAACUACCCCGUUUGUUCUUACCUCUGCAUCUUUCAUCAUCCUGUGCCCUCUGCUUAGAAUUCUGUUGAAAUCCUACCCAUCUUCCAAAGUCAAGCCUGGAAUUUACCUCUUCUUCUGUGAUGCAUCCUCAGAGCCAAAGUACAGGCACUUUGUGAGCUACUAUUCUAGCACUUCAU
Artibeus jamaicensis (Jamaican fruit-eating bat) is the source of this 683-nucleotide long non-coding RNA. RefSeq lists it as uncharacterized. The transcript has 3 exons. NCBI's taxonomy places the organism in Eukaryota, Metazoa, Chordata, Mammalia, Chiroptera, Phyllostomidae. The record is from RefSeq and is a predicted model, not a curated record.